GCCCACAAACCGUCGGAGCCUCCUUGUGGGGUGACGGCGUGCCUAUCGAAAAAUGAGUCUGCGAGUCAGUGGUAUGUGGCGAGGUUAACCCGUGUGGGGUAGCCGUAGGGAAACCGAAUCCUAAUGGGGUGUCAAGUGGCAUGUCCUGGACCCGAAGCGGGGUGAUCUACCCAUGGCCAGGUUGAAGCGCGGGUAAGACCGCGUGGAGGACCGAACCCACUUAGGUUGAAAACUGAGGGGAUGACCUGUGGAUAGGGGUGAAAGGCCAAUCAAACUUCGUGAUAGCUGGUUCUCUCCGAAAUGCAUUUAGGUGCAGCGUUGCGUGUUUCUUGCCGGAGGUAGAGCUACUGGAUGGCCGAUGGGCCCUACAAGGUUACUGACGUCAGCCAAACUCCGAAUGCCGGUAAGUGAGAGCGCAGCAGUGAGACAGUGGGGGAUAAGCUUCAUUGUCGAGAGGGAAACAGCCCAGACCGUC
This 475-nucleotide ribosomal RNA is filed under the name Thalassiosira minuscula. RNAcentral describes it as "partial Bacterial large subunit ribosomal RNA". It matches the Rfam family "Bacterial large subunit ribosomal RNA", at positions 562 to 1036 of the family's 2925-position model. The record is from RNAcentral. Lineage: Eukaryota; Bacillariophyta; Thalassiosirophyceae; Thalassiosirales; Thalassiosiraceae.